RNAcentral lists this ribosomal RNA (2799 nucleotides) under Staphylococcus aureus M1243. RNAcentral's name for it is "bacterial LSU rRNA". It matches the Rfam family "Bacterial large subunit ribosomal RNA". Lineage: Bacteria; Bacillati; Bacillota; Bacilli; Caryophanales; Staphylococcaceae. The record is from RNAcentral.
UUAAGUUAUUAAGGGCGCACGGUGGAUGCCUUGGCACUAGAAGCCGAUGAAGGACGUUACUAACGACGAUAUGCUUUGGGGAGCUGUAAGUAAGCUUUGAUCCAGAGAUUUCCGAAUGGGGAAACCCAGCAUGAGUUAUGUCAUGUUAUCGAUAUGUGAAUACAUAGCAUAUCAGAAGGCACACCCGGAGAACUGAAACAUCUUAGUACCCGGAGGAAGAGAAAGAAAAUUCGAUUCCCUUAGUAGCGGCGAGCGAAACGGGAAGAGCCCAAACCAACAAGCUUGCUUGUUGGGGUUGUAGGACACUCUAUACGGAGUUACAAAGGACGACAUUAGACGAAUCAUCUGGAAAGAUGAAUCAAAGAAGGUAAUAAUCCUGUAGUCGAAAAUGUUGUCUCUCUUGAGUGGAUCCUGAGUAAGACGGAGCACGUGAAAUUCCGUCGGAAUCUGGGAGGACCAUCUCCUAAGGCUAAAUACUCUCUAGUGACCGAUAGUGAACCAGUACCGUGAGGGAAAGGUGAAAAGCACCCCGGAAGGGGAGUGAAAUAGAACCUGAAACCGUGUGCUUACAAGUAGUCAGAGCCCGUUAAUGGGUGAUGGCGUGCCUUUUGUAGAAUGAACCGGCGAGUUACGAUUUGAUGCAAGGUUAAGCAGUAAAUGUGGAGCCGUAGCGAAAGCGAGUCUGAAUAGGGCGUUUAGUAUUUGGUCGUAGACCCGAAACCAGGUGAUCUACCCUUGGUCAGGUUGAAGUUCAGGUAACACUGAAUGGAGGACCGAACCGACUUACGUUGAAAAGUGAGCGGAUGAACUGAGGGUAGCGGAGAAAUUCCAAUCGAACCUGGAGAUAGCUGGUUCUCUCCGAAAUAGCUUUAGGGCUAGCCUCAAGUGAUGAUUAUUGGAGGUAGAGCACUGUUUGGACGAGGGGCCCCUCUCGGGUUACCGAAUUCAGACAAACUCCGAAUGCCAAUUAAUUUAACUUGGGAGUCAGAACAUGGGUGAUAAGGUCCGUGUUCGAAAGGGAAACAGCCCAGACCACCAGCUAAGGUCCCAAAAUAUAUGUUAAGUGGAAAAGGAUGUGGCGUUGCCCAGACAACUAGGAUGUUGGCUUAGAAGCAGCCAUCAUUUAAAGAGUGCGUAAUAGCUCACUAGUCGAGUGACACUGCGCCGAAAAUGUACCGGGGCUAAACAUAUUACCGAAGCUGUGGAUUGUCCUUUGGACAAUGGUAGGAGAGCGUUCUAAGGGCGUUGAAGCAUGAUCGUAAGGACAUGUGGAGCGCUUAGAAGUGAGAAUGCCGGUGUGAGUAGCGAAAGACGGGUGAGAAUCCCGUCCACCGAUUGACUAAGGUUUCCAGAGGAAGGCUCGUCCGCUCUGGGUUAGUCGGGUCCUAAGCUGAGGCCGACAGGCGUAGGCGAUGGAUAACAGGUUGAUAUUCCUGUACCACCUAUAAUCGUUUUAAUCGAUGGGGGGACGCAGUAGGAUAGGCGAAGCGUGCGAUUGGAUUGCACGUCUAAGCAGUAAGGCUGAGUAUUAGGCAAAUCCGGUACUCGUUAAGGCUGAGCUGUGAUGGGGAGAAGACAUUGUGUCUUCGAGUCGUUGAUUUCACACUGCCGAGAAAAGCCUCUAGAUAGAAAAUAGGUGCCCGUACCGCAAACCGACACAGGUAGUCAAGAUGAGAAUUCUAAGGUGAGCGAGCGAACUCUCGUUAAGGAACUCGGCAAAAUGACCCCGUAACUUCGGGAGAAGGGGUGCUCUUUAGGGUUAACGCCCAGAAGAGCCGCAGUGAAUAGGCCCAAGCGACUGUUUAUCAAAAACACAGGUCUCUGCUAAACCGUAAGGUGAUGUAUAGGGGCUGACGCCUGCCCGGUGCUGGAAGGUUAAGAGGAGUGGUUAGCUUCUGCGAAGCUACGAAUCGAAGCCCCAGUAAACGGCGGCCGUAACUAUAACGGUCCUAAGGUAGCGAAAUUCCUUGUCGGGUAAGUUCCGACCCGCACGAAAGGCGUAACGAUUUGGGCACUGUCUCAACGAGAGACUCGGUGAAAUCAUAGUACCUGUGAAGAUGCAGGUUACCCGCGACAGGACGGAAAGACCCCGUGGAGCUUUACUGUAGCCUGAUAUUGAAAUUCGGCACAGCUUGUACAGGAUAGGUAGGAGCCUUUGAAACGUGAGCGCUAGCUUACGUGGAGGCGCUGGUGGGAUACUACCCUAGCUGUGUUGGCUUUCUAACCCGCACCACUUAUCGUGGUGGGAGACAGUGUCAGGCGGGCAGUUUGACUGGGGCGGUCGCCUCCUAAAAGGUAACGGAGGCGCUCAAAGGUUCCCUCAGAAUGGUUGGAAAUCAUUCAUAGAGUGUAAAGGCAUAAGGGAGCUUGACUGCGAGACCUACAAGUCGAGCAGGGUCGAAAGACGGACUUAGUGAUCCGGUGGUUCCGCAUGGAAGGGCCAUCGCUCAACGGAUAAAAGCUACCCCGGGGAUAACAGGCUUAUCUCCCCCAAGAGUUCACAUCGACGGGGAGGUUUGGCACCUCGAUGUCGGCUCAUCGCAUCCUGGGGCUGUAGUCGGUCCCAAGGGUUGGGCUGUUCGCCCAUUAAAGCGGUACGCGAGCUGGGUUCAGAACGUCGUGAGACAGUUCGGUCCCUAUCCGUCGUGGGCGUAGGAAAUUUGAGAGGAGCUGUCCUUAGUACGAGAGGACCGGGAUGGACAUACCUCUGGUGUACCAGUUGUCGUGCCAACGGCAUAGCUGGGUAGCUAUGUGUGGACGGGAUAAGUGCUGAAAGCAUCUAAGCAUGAAGCCCCCCUC